ACACGACUACAUUAGAUACCCCCGUAGUCCAGGGUGUAAACGCUGCGGGCUUGGUGUUGGGGGUCCUUUGAGGGCGCCCAGUGCCGGAGAGAAGUUGUUAAGCCUGCUGCUUGGGGAGUACGUCCGCAAGGAUGAAACUUAAAGGAAUUGGCGGGGGAGCACCGCAACGGGAGGAGCGUGCGGUUCAAUUGGAUUCAACGCCGGACAACUCACCAGGAGCGACGGUUACAUGAAGGCCAGGCUGAUGACCUUGCCUGAUUUUCCG
This 265-nucleotide ribosomal RNA is filed under the name uncultured archaeon. RNAcentral's name for it is "partial 16S ribosomal RNA". It matches the Rfam family "Archaeal small subunit ribosomal RNA", at positions 717 to 982 of the family's 1478-position model. The record is from RNAcentral.